GAACGCUGGCGGCAUGCUUUACACAUGCAAGUCGAACGGCAGCACGGGUGCUUGCACCUGGUGGCGAGUGGCGAACGGGUGAGUAAUGCAUCGGAACGUGCCCAUGAGUGGGGGAUAGCCCGGCGAAAGCCGGAUUAAUACCGCAUACGCCCUUAGGGGGAAAGCGGGGGGAUCUUCGGACCUCGCGCUAUUGGAGCGGCCGAUGUCGGAUUAGCUAGUAGGUGAGGUAAAGGCUCACCUAGGCGACGAUCCGUAGCUGGUCUGAGAGGAUGAUCAGCCACACUGGGACUGAGACACGGCCCAGACUCCUACGGGAGGCAGCAGUGGGGAAUUUUGGACAAUGGGCGCAAGCCUGAUCCAGCCAUGCCGCGUGAGUGAAGAAGGCCUUCGGGUUGUAAAGCUCUUUCAGGUGGAAAGAAAUAGCGCUGUUUAAUAGAUGGCGUUGAUGACGGUACCACCAGAAGAAGCACCGGCUAACUACGUG
Molecule: ribosomal RNA, 484 nt
Filed under: uncultured bacterium
Lineage: Bacteria
Description: bacterial SSU rRNA
Rfam family: Bacterial small subunit ribosomal RNA
Source: RNAcentral